This 309-nucleotide ribosomal RNA is filed under the name Anomalobuthus rickmersi. Its description in RNAcentral is "partial 16S ribosomal RNA". The stretch from base 47 to 309 matches the Rfam family "Bacterial large subunit ribosomal RNA", at positions 2079 to 2582 of the family's 2925-position model. The record is from RNAcentral. Lineage: Eukaryota; Metazoa; Arthropoda; Arachnida; Scorpiones; Buthidae.
AAAAUAAACUUUAUUUUUUAGUAAGAAAGCUAAAAUAAUUCUUUUAGACGAGAAGACCCUGUAAAACUUUAUAUUUCUAAUUUUUAGAAAAAUUGGGAAAUAUUUUACUGGGGCGGUGGGGAAAAAGUCUUUCCUUUAUUUUAAAAUACGUACACGUAUUUAUACCUAGAAAUUCUAAAAAAGAAAUAAGUUACUUUAGGGAUAACAGCUUUAUACACUUUUAAAGAUCUAAUUGACAAGUGUGUUUAUGACCUCGAUGUUGAAUUAAAAUACCUUUUUUAUGCAGUAGUUUUAAAAGGAGGUCUGUUC